GUCUGACGGAGCAACGCCGCGUGAGUGAUGAAGGUUUUCGGAUCGUAAAGCUCUGUUGUUAGGGAAGAACAAGUGCAAGAGUAACUGCUUGCACCUUGACGGUACCUAACCAGAAAGCCACGGCUAACUACGUGCCAGCAGCCGCGGUAAUACGUAGGUGGCAAGCGUUGUCCGGAAUUAUUGGGCGUAAAGGGCUCGCAGGCGGUUUCUUAAGUCUGAUGUGAAAGCCCCCGGCUCAACCGGGGAGGGUCAUUGGAAACUGGGAAACUUGAGUGCAGAAGAGGAGAGUGGAAUUCCACGUGUAGCGGUGAAAUGCGUAGAGAUGUGGAGGAACACCAGUGGCGAAGGCGACUCUCUGGUCUGUAACUGACGCUGAGGAGCGAAAGCGUGGGGAGCGAACAGGAUUAGAUACCCUGGUAGUCCACGCCGUAAACGAUGAGUGCUAAGUGUUAGGGGGUUUCCGCCCCUUAGUGCUGCAGCUAACGCAUUAAGCACUCCGCCUGGGGAGUACGGUCGCAAGACUGAAACUCAAAGGAAUUGACGGGGGCCCGCACAAGCGGUGGAGCAUGUGGUUUAAUUCGAAGCAACGCGAAGAACCUUACCAGGUCUUGACAUCCUCUGACAACCCUAGAGAUAGGGCUUUCCCUUCGGGGACAGAGUGACAGGUGGUGCAUGGUUGUCGUCAGCUCGUGUCGUGAGAUGUUGGGUUAAGUCCCGCAACGAGCGCAACCCUUGAUCUUAGUUGCCAGCAUUUAGUUGGGCACUCUAAGGUGACUGCCGGUGACAAACCGGAGGAAGGU
RNAcentral lists this ribosomal RNA (800 nucleotides) under Bacillus sp. Ni20. RNAcentral's name for it is "bacterial SSU rRNA". It matches the Rfam family "Bacterial small subunit ribosomal RNA", at positions 381 to 1174 of the family's 1533-position model. The record is from RNAcentral. RNAcentral also lists the same sequence under 4 other names. Lineage: Bacteria; Bacillati; Bacillota; Bacilli; Caryophanales; Bacillaceae.